RNAcentral lists this ribosomal RNA (2714 nucleotides) under Xanthomonas vesicatoria. RNAcentral's name for it is "bacterial LSU rRNA". It matches the Rfam family "Bacterial large subunit ribosomal RNA". The record is from RNAcentral. Lineage: Bacteria; Pseudomonadati; Pseudomonadota; Gammaproteobacteria; Lysobacterales; Lysobacteraceae.
UCCGAAUGGGGAAACCCACUGCUUCGGCAGUAUCCUGCAGUGAAUUCAUAGCUGCUGGAAGCGAACCCGGUGAACUGAAAUAUCUAAGUAACCGGAGGAAAAGAAAUCAACCGAGAUUCCCUAAGUAGUGACGAGCGAACGGGGAACAGCCCUUAAGCUGGAAUGGCUUUAGAAAAACAAUCUGGAAAGAUUGGCCAUAGAAGGUGAUAGCCCUGUAUUUAAAAGGGCCACUCCAGUGAAGACGAGUAGGGCGGGGCACGUGAAACCCUGUCUGAAUAUGGGGGGACCAUCCUCCAAGGCUAAAUACUCCUGACCGACCGAUAGUGAACCAGUACCGUGAGGGAAAGGCGAAAAGAACCCCGGAGAGGGGAGUGAAAUAGAUCCUGAAACCGUGUGCGUACAAGCAGUAGGAGCUCGCAAGAGUGACUGCGUACCUUUUGUAUAAUGGGUCAGCGACUUACUGUUCGUGGCAAGCUUAACCGUAUAGGGGAGGCGAAGGGAAACCGAGUCUGAUAAGGGCGCAUAGUCGCGGGCAGUAGACCCGAAACCGGGUGAUCUAGUCAUGGCCAGGGUGAAGGUGCCGUAACAGGUACUGGAGGCCCGAACCCACGUCUGUUGCAAAAGACGGGGAUGAGCUGUGAUUAGGAGUGAAAAGCUAAUCGAACCCGGAGAUAGCUGGUUCUCCUCGAAAGCUAUUUAGGUAGCGCCUCGGACGAAUACUACUGGGGGUAGAGCACUGUUAUGGCUAGGGGGUCAUCGCGACUUACCAAACCAUUGCAAACUCCGAAUACCAGUACGUACUAUCCGGGAGACACACGGCGGGUGCUAACGUCCGUCGUGAAAAGGGAAACAACCCAGACCCACAGCUAAGGUCCCAAAUUCACUGCUAAGUGGAAAACGAUGUGGAAAGGCACAGACAGCCAGGAGGUUGGCUUAGAAGCAGCCACCCUUUAAAGAAAGCGUAAUAGCUCACUGGUCGAGUCGGUCUGCGCGGAAGAUUUAACGGGGCUAAGCAGUGAACCGAAGCUUGGGGUGCAUAAAACUUGUUUUAUGCGCGGUAGAGGAGCGUUCCGUAAGCCUGCGAAGGUGGAUUGAGAAGUCCGCUGGAGGUAUCGGAAGUGCGAAUGCUGACAUGAGUAACGAUAAUGCGGGUGAAAAGCCCGCACGCCGAAAGCCCAAGGUUUCCUUGCGCAACGUUAAUCGACGCAGGGUUAGUCGGUCCCUAAGGCGAGGGCGAAAGCCGUAGUCGAUGGGAAGCAGGUUAAUAUUCCUGCACCUCGCGUGAGUGCGAUGGAGGGACGGAGAAGGUUAGGUGUACCGGGCGUUGGUUGUCCCGGGGAAAGGCGGUAGGUUUGGAUCUUUGGCAAAUCCGGGAUCCUUUAAGACCGAGCACCGAGACGAGCCUUUAUGGCGAAGUCACUGAUACCACGCUUCCAGGAAAAGCUCCUAAGCUUCAGCUCACGAAGACCGUACCGUAAACCGACACAGGUGGGUAGGAUGAGAAUUCUCAGGCGCUUGAGAGAACUCGGGUGAAGGAACUAGGCAACAUGGCACCGUAACUUCGGGAGAAGGUGCACCCUUUUUGGUGGCUCAUGCGAGCUAUAGCUGAAGAGGGUCGCAGAAACCAGGCCGCUGCGACUGUUUAUCAAAAACACAGCACUCUGCAAACACGAAAGUGGACGUAUAGGGUGUGACGCCUGCCCGGUGCUGGAAGGUUAAUUGAUGGGGUCAGCCGCAAGGCGAAGCUCUUGAUCGAAGCCCCAGUAAACGGCGGCCGUAACUAUAACGGUCCUAAGGUAGCGAAAUUCCUUGUCGGGUAAGUUCCGACCUGCACGAAUGGCGUAACGACAGCGGCGCUGUCUCCACCCGAGACUCAGUGAAAUUGAAAUCGCUGUGAAGAUGCAGCGUUCCCGUGGCAAGACGGAAAGACCCCGUGAACCUUUACUAUAGCUUUACACUGAACGUUGAGUUCGUCUGUGUAGGAUAGGUGGGAGGCUAUGAAACUGUGGCGCUAGCUGCAGUGGAGCCAUCCUUGAAAUACCACCCUGUCGUGCUUGACGUUCUAACCUAGAUCCGUUAUCCGGAUCAGGGACCGUGUAUGGUGGGUAGUUUGACUGGGGCGGUCUCCUCCUAAAGAGUAACGGAGGAGCACGAAGGUACGCUCAGCGCGGUCGGACAUCGCGCACUGUGUGCAAAGGCAUAAGCGUGCUUGACUGCAAGAUCGACGGAUCAAGCAGGUACGAAAGUAGGUCUUAGUGAUCCGGUGGUUCUGUAUGGAAGGGCCAUCGCUCAACGGAUAAAAGGUACUCCGGGGAUAACAGGCUGAUACCGCCCAAGAGUUCAUAUCGACGGCGGUGUUUGGCACCUCGAUGUCGGCUCAUCACAUCCUGGGGCUGUAGUCGGUCCCAAGGGUAUGGCUGUUCGCCAUUUAAAGUGGUACGCGAGCUGGGUUCAGAACGUCGUGAGACAGUUCGGUCCCUAUCUGCCAUGGGCGUUGGAAGUUUGAGAGGGGCUGCUCCUAGUACGAGAGGACCGGAGUGGACGAACCUCUGGUGUUCCGGUUGUCACGCCAGUGGCAUUGCCGGGUAGCUAUGUUCGGAAGCGAUAACCGCUGAAAGCAUCUAAGCGGGAAGCGCGCCUCAAGAUGAGACUUCCCGGGGCACAAGCCCCCUAAAGGAACCAUAUAGACUAUGUGGUUGAUAGGUCAGGUGUGU